GAUGAACGCUAGCGGCAGGCUUAAUACAUGCAAGUCGAGGGGCAGCAUAAGUAGCAAUACUUGAUGGCGACCGGCAAACGGGUGCGGAACACGUACGCAACCUUCCUUUAAGUGGGGAAUAGCCCGGGGAAACCCGGAUUAAUACCCCGUAAUAUUAUGAUGUGGCAUCACAUUAUAAUUAUAGAUUCAUCGCUUAAAGAUGGGCGUGCGCCUGAUUAGGUAGUUGGCGGAGUAAUAGCCCACCAAGCCUGCGAUCAGUAACUGGUGUGAGAGCACGACCAGUCACACGGGCACUGAGACACGGGCCCGACUCCUACGGGAGGCAGCAGUAAGGAAUAUUGGUCAAUGGACGCAAGUCUGAACCAGCCAUGCCGCGUGGAGGAUGAAGGUCCUCUGGAUUGUAAACUUCUUUUAUUGGGAAGAAUGUGAUGAUUCUUUAUCACUUGACGGUACCAGAUGAAUAAGCACC
RNAcentral lists this ribosomal RNA (469 nucleotides) under uncultured bacterium. RNAcentral's name for it is "bacterial SSU rRNA". It matches the Rfam family "Bacterial small subunit ribosomal RNA", at positions 28 to 494 of the family's 1533-position model. The record is from RNAcentral.